GUCCACGAGCGGGGUAACGGCGUCAACUAGUGGACUCAACCGCCGCGGCUGUCUCUCGCCGCGGUUGGGAAACCUUAGAGAGGCUGGCGAAUCGGAUCCUGCCUUUGCGGAGCCGGAACGUGAGAACCAAAAGCAAAGGCUAAGCUUGUAGAUACUCCCUUUUGGAUGGCUUCGGACGCGGGUUCGAUUCCCGCCGCCUCCACCA
RNAcentral lists this transfer-messenger RNA (205 nucleotides) under Thermoleophilia bacterium. RNAcentral describes it as "partial transfer-messenger RNA". It matches the Rfam family "transfer-messenger RNA", at positions 161 to 374 of the family's 374-position model. Rfam says of the family: Bacterial tmRNA, also known as 10Sa RNA or SsrA, is named for its dual tRNA and mRNA-like properties. Its role is to liberate the mRNA from a stalled ribosome. To accomplish this part of the tmRNA is used as a reading frame that ends in a translation stop signal. Lineage: Bacteria; Bacillati; Actinomycetota; Thermoleophilia. The record is from RNAcentral.